RNAcentral lists this long non-coding RNA (720 nucleotides) under Homo sapiens (human). RNAcentral's name for it is "HSALNT0365510". Lineage: Eukaryota; Metazoa; Chordata; Mammalia; Primates; Hominidae. The record is from RNAcentral.
GUGACAGAGACACUAGGAGUAAGCCAUAUCUGAGAACUCAAGAAGACAAAAGGCAGAACCAGGGCAUCUUCUCAUUAGGCAGCAGAAGCCUUGGCUCUGCUUUGCUGUCAAGAACAGAGUUCCAGUUCUUGAAGACUGAAGGACGGAUUGACAGGUUUACUCCUCAUUGUUUGGAUGGAUUAUUCAACUGCCCCACAGCUCUUUUGCCGUGGAACUGCUUCUCUGUAGACCUGUUGCCAAGAUUCCGCAAAUGAACCCAAGCACCAAGCAAUUGCUGUAGGCCUCUUCCUGAAAUCUUCUCGUUAGUAGUUCCUUGGACUUGUCUAGGAGAGAUGUACAACUAAAAAAGAAACCACAAACAGAAGAGCAGAGAAGUCGUCUUACGGGAAACCCUGAGAAUCUGCAGUUUUGAUUAUAUUCCUGUGAAAUGGCCUUUUUGCAGCGUUGUUAUAUUCUGCAGAGAACGCUACUAAGAUUUAUUCUCUACUUAAAUGGAGAAGGUUUGGCUAUUUUCCUGCAUGGCGUUUUAGAUGGUUGAAUCUUCUUGCUUCUGGAAGUCUUUACAGCUUCUGGAAGUCUUUACAUAACCCUACAAUGCUCUCAACCUCCUCUGAAGAGUCCCUAUCUUUAUGAAUUGCCAAAUAAACUAGUUUGUGCUGACUGAUUCCUUUUUUAGAAUUUGAAUUGCAUUCCUCCUUCUACCUGAAACCUCGGUGUACA